RNAcentral lists this ribosomal RNA (591 nucleotides) under uncultured Candidatus Scalindua sp. RNAcentral describes it as "bacterial SSU rRNA". It matches the Rfam family "Bacterial small subunit ribosomal RNA", at positions 338 to 918 of the family's 1533-position model. The record is from RNAcentral. Lineage: Bacteria; Pseudomonadati; Planctomycetota; Candidatus Brocadiia; Candidatus Brocadiales; Candidatus Scalinduaceae.
UCUACGGGAGGCUGCAGUCGAGAAUCUUUCGCAAUGCCCGAAAGGGUGACGAAGCGACGCCGCGUGAGCGAAGAAGGCCUUAGGGUUGUAAAGCUCUGUCGAGGGUUAUGAAAUAUAAAUGGGAUAAUACCUCAUUUAUUUGACAAAAGCCCAAGAGGAAGUCACGGCUAACUCUGUGCCAGCAGCCGCGGUAAUACAGAGGUGGCAAGCGUUGUUCGGUAUUAUUGGGCGUAAAGAGCACGUAGGUGGUUUUGUAAGUCAGGUGUGAAAGCCUUCUGUUCAAAGGAAGAACGGCAUCUGAAACUGCAGAUCUUGAGUGUAGGAGGGGAGAGUGGAACUUCUGGUGGAGCGGUGAAAUGCGUAGAUAUCAGAAGGAACGUCGGCGGCGAAAGCGACUCUCUGGCCUAUAACUGACACUGAGGUGCGAAAGUUAGGGGAGCAAACGGGAUUAGAUACCCCGGUAGUCCUAACCGUAAACGAUGGGCACUAAGUAGAGGGAAUUACCAAUGUUCUCUCUGCUGUAGCUAACGCAUUAAGUGCCCCGCCUGGGGAGUACGGCCGCAAGGCUAAAACUCAAAAGAAUUGACGGGG